Molecule: long non-coding RNA, 1217 nt
Organism: Athene cunicularia (burrowing owl)
Lineage: Eukaryota; Metazoa; Chordata; Aves; Strigiformes; Strigidae
Exons: 6
Source: RefSeq, a predicted model, not a curated record
CAGGAAAGGCUCUGGGAGAGUGAGGAAAAACUUUAAAUGGGCCAUAGCCUGAAGAUAUUAUACUCUCCCUGGCUGACAGCCUCGGCCUGGAGACCAGCCAGGGAGGACGAGAAUGGGGCCCUUGGGGUCCGAAGAUAUUAACAAAAUAAAUAACUCCGACCGCAGCGCCCCCUUCCACUCCCCUCAGCACAUUCCGCGGAGGAGCCGGCAGCACCCUUCCUCUCCCGCUGCCUCCUGAGGUAAAUCAGACGCACCGCGUCUGCUUUGUAUUAUUAAAAGAGGGAAAUGAAAAAAAACAAUGUAAACACUCUUACAAUUGCUGCGGAAACUGGAUCUAACCAGGUUAUUCAAAGGGAAAAAACGAAGCUAUCCGUAUAUGCCAAGUUUGCUGAGACAUCUGUUAAUUGUAAGGGGAUGAUUUUAAAUAAAGACAAGUCAUGGUUUAGGGCCUGGUUCAGCAAAGCCUGAAAAUGUGCACUUCACAAAACCAGGAAUCUGCCCCUUUUCAAUGAAGCCCUCGCACAUGUUGGUGCUCAUGGAAAUAAAACGUUGUUUUUCAGGCCUGUGCCGCGGGAGGGGAGCCAGCUUCCACCUCGGGGCUGGAGCUCCACAGACUGUUCUGGGAGGCUGCGAGGGCACCCCUGCUCCGCCCUUAGCCAAGAAAUUAUUAUUCUAGUUGUCAGUGUUAUCCUGUCGGCAUUAUACGAAACAAAGAUGAGGCUGCAACUGCUUUUUCUGAGGAGGCCAGUGUGAGCUAUGAGAAUGUCUACUGGAUUACACCCGAGGGAUGACUGCCUGAUUCCUGAGGGACUCUGGUGUAAAAUCUGCAGAAACAAAUGUGAGAAGCCCUUGCAGACGCCGAAAUACUGUCCCUCUCAAGAUACGGAAAUACAGGACUGCUCUUCUCUCUACUGGUUGAAAACCUUUAUAUUCUGAUGGUAGCAAGAAUCGCCCUGUCUCUUUCGACCAAGUCUGCCAGCUUAUCCAAAAGAUGGCCCCUUUCCGAUGCAUCCAUUCUCCUCCACACUGAACCUAGAGAAAAAGCAAGGCGAGCUGCCCUCACUGCUUUGUCCGUAUCAACCUGUCAAGAAGGAAGAAAAAAACCAAAGGCACUGAGGUGGGAAAGUGGAUCCUGGAUAAAAGUCUUGCCCAAGACAAGACUCCAAGCUGAAGACUCCAGUUAUCUAUAAAUCACUUGUAUUUCCUGCAGAGAAAGA